GGGGCCGUAGCGCAGAGGUCGUCGCGUUCGGCUGCACACCGAAAGGACGCCGGUUCGAAUCCGGCCGGCCCCG
This 73-nucleotide transfer RNA is filed under the name Nocardiopsis flavescens. RNAcentral describes it as "tRNA-Cys". It matches the Rfam family "tRNA". From Rfam's summary of the family: Transfer RNA (tRNA) molecules are approximately 80 nucleotides in length. Their secondary structure includes four short double-helical elements and three loops (D, anti-codon, and T loops). Lineage: Bacteria; Bacillati; Actinomycetota; Actinomycetes; Streptosporangiales; Nocardiopsidaceae. The record is from RNAcentral. RNAcentral also lists the same sequence under 4 other names.